This 1953-nucleotide long non-coding RNA is filed under the name Pan paniscus (pygmy chimpanzee). RNAcentral describes it as "lncRNA (ENSPPAG00000045181.1)". The record is from RNAcentral. Lineage: Eukaryota; Metazoa; Chordata; Mammalia; Primates; Hominidae.
CUCUUUUGUAAGUCAGAAAACAUGAGACUAACUACAUCAAAGAAUAUUGCCCUAAACAUCCAUAAAUAUCUGUUCCGCUGAACACUGGAGCUAAAACAAAUUGAUUUUACUUCCACAAGUCUCUCUUUAAAAUGUGACUGGUUGGGUGCCCCUGGGACUCUUUGCAUGUUACAGAAGACUGCUCACGCUCAAGAUACAGCAAAAUGUUGCCUUUUAGUUAGACAGAAGACAGCUGUGCUGGGCUCAGUUGUGCUGUGCUGUGCUGUGCUGUGCUGAGCUGGACCAGGCUGGGCUGAGCUGUUCCUGGGAGAGUGAAAGUGAGUGAUGCUUCCUUGCAUCCUGCACUUAGAAACCAGAAGACUUAAAUACAUUCCUGAGAGACUCUCAUGAAGACGGAAUUAAAAUGCUCCCUAACUGCGGAUACCUUAUGGGAAUUCCAGGGAAGUAGAUGCAGGUGGCAUUUGUCAUCAGGUCAUGGAUACAAAAGUAAAAGUCAGGGCUGUCCCAAUGACUAAAAGACACCAUACGAGCAUACAGAGAUGGAAUUUGCAGAAGCAUUGGCCUCCUCCUUGUUUGAUUAGCACCUGGAAGAUUUUCAAAAUAGUUGAAAACAACAGGUGGAAGCCAACUCACUGUGUCUACCAUAACGUCCUGCUUUCGAGUCCAACGCUAAGGACUGGACCACUCCUCAUACUACUGGGAAGAGGAUGACAUGCCUUAUCCCAGGAAGUGGAUUCAUUGCUCUGAUCCAGUCAACUAUGGAGGGCUGGGUGAGUUACAAAGUUACUUCUCACUCCCUAUGGCCUUAAACGGGAUAAGUAAUGUUAGGUAAGGGGAGAAGGUGGUAACGUGUAUACUACAUUUAUGUAGACCUUUCCUUCAAGCCUCAGCUCCAGCCACCUCCUCCAAGAAGCCUUCACUCACCACACACACUGAUUCACAUGCCCUUUCUUGACACGCCCAGAGCAUAUUGGUUAUACCUCAAGGCUGAAUAAGUUCACUAAGGAUAAAGUUUCCCCUUUAUCCCUUGGGUCUAGUCCACAUUUUCAACAUAUUAUAUGUUUAAUAAACACUGAAUUGAAAGAGUUAAUUAGUAUAAAAUGAAUAACAAGCCAUUGUGGGGUGAAACACAGACAAAGUUCAAUAGGUAUAUGAAAAAAUAUUCCACAUCGCUCAUCACCAGGGAAAUGCAAACCAAAAACCACAACGAGGUAUCACCUCACCCAAGUUAGGACAGCUAUUAUCAAAAACACAAAAAAUAAUAAAUGCUGGUGAGGGUGCAAAGAAAAGGGAACUCUUAUAUAUUGUUGGUGGGAAUGUAAACUAGUUCAGUCCUUAUGGAGAACAAUAUGAAGGUUCCUCAAAAAACUAAAUGUAGAACUACCAUGUGAUUGAGCAACACACUACUGGGUACAUAUCCAAAGAAAAUGAAAUCAGUAUGUCGAAGAGACAUCUGCAAUAAACCCCAUGUUUAUUGCAGCACUAUUCGCAAUAGCUAAGAUGUGGAAUCAACCUCACUGUCCAUCAACAGGUGAAUGAAUAAAGAAAAUGUGGUAUAUAUACACAGUGGAAUACUAUUCAGCCGUAAAAAGAGUGAAAUCCUGUCAUUCCCAGCAACUUAGAUGAGCCUGGAGGACAUUAUGCUAAGUGAAAUAAGUCAAGAACAGAAAGAUAAACGUUACAUGUUGUCACUCACGUGUGGAAGAUAUAAAGUUGAUCUCACAGAAGAGAGGAGUAAAAGAGUAGUUACUAGAGUCUGGGAAGGGUGGAGGGAGCAGAGGAUACAGAGCUAUUGGUUGAAGGAUAUAAAAUUACAGCUGGAUAGGAGAAAUAGGUUCAAAUGCUGUCUAGCACUGUAGAAUGACAAUAGUUAACAAUAAUAUAUUUUCAAAUAGCUAGAAGAGAGGAGUUUGAAUGUUUCUAAUACAAAAAGUACUGUGUUUGAGGUCAUGG